UACUCGACCUAUAAAUGUGGUGUCACAACUAAUGAUCACAGCCAGUUACAGGUUCCUUUGUUCCUUUUCCACCUCCACUGCUUCACUUGACCGGUCUUUA
This 100-nucleotide small RNA is filed under the name Echinops telfairi (small Madagascar hedgehog). Its description in RNAcentral is "Y RNA (ENSETEG00000022735.1)". It matches the Rfam family "Y RNA". Rfam says of the family: Y RNAs are components of the Ro ribonucleoprotein particle (Ro RNP), in association with Ro60 and La proteins. The Y RNAs and Ro60 and La proteins are well conserved, but the function of the Ro RNP is not known. The record is from RNAcentral. Lineage: Eukaryota; Metazoa; Chordata; Mammalia; Afrosoricida; Tenrecidae.